RNAcentral lists this ribosomal RNA (163 nucleotides) under uncultured bacterium. RNAcentral describes it as "partial 16S ribosomal RNA". It matches the Rfam family "Bacterial small subunit ribosomal RNA", at positions 1337 to 1500 of the family's 1533-position model. The record is from RNAcentral.
AGUAAUCGCGAAUCAGCAUGUCGCGGUGAAUACGUUCCCGGUCUUGUACACACCGCCGUCACACCAUGGGAGUUGGUAACGCCCGAAGUCAGUGACCCAACCUGAUAGGAGGGAGCUGCCGAAGGCGGGACCGAUAACUGGGGUGAAGUCGUAACAAGGUAAC